AGCAGCAGCCACGGUAAUACAGAGGGUGCGAGCGUUAAUCGGAUUUACUGGGCGUAAAGCGUGCGUAGGCGGCUUUUUAAGUCGGAUGUGAAAUCCCUGAGCUUAACUUAGGAAUUGCAUUCGAUACUGGGAAGCUAGAGUAUGGGAGAGGAUGGUAGAAUUCCAGGUGUAGCGGUGAAAUGCGUAGAGAUCUGGAGGAAUACCGAUGGCGAAGGCAGCCAUCUGGCCUAAUACUGACGCUGAGGUACGAAAGCAUGGGGAGCAAACAGGAUUAGAUACCCCAGUAGUCCCUGUCUCUUAUAU
RNAcentral lists this ribosomal RNA (303 nucleotides) under uncultured bacterium. RNAcentral describes it as "partial 16S ribosomal RNA". It matches the Rfam family "Bacterial small subunit ribosomal RNA", at positions 507 to 809 of the family's 1533-position model. The record is from RNAcentral.